GAUGAACGCUGGCGGUAUGCUUAACACAUGCAAGUCGAACGGACUCUUCGGAGUUAGUGGCGGACGGGUGAGUAACGCGUGAGAAUCUGGCUUUGGGUUCGGGACAACCACUGGAAACGGUGGCUAAUACCGGAUGUGCCGAGAGGUAAAAGAGAAAUUGCCUGAAGAUGAGCUCGCGUCUGAUUAGCUAGUUGGUGAGGUAAAGGCUCACCAAGGCAGCGAUCAGUAGCUGGUCUGAGAGGAUGACCAGCCACACUGGGACUGAGACACGGCCCAGACUCCUACGGGAGGCAGCAGUGGGGAAUUUUCCGCAAUGGGCGAAGGCCUGACGGAGCAAUACCGCGUGAGGGAAGAAGGCUCUUGGGUUGUAAACCUCUUUUCUUAGGGAAGAACAAAAUGACGGUACCUAAGGAAUCAGCAUCGGCUAACUCCGUG
This 435-nucleotide ribosomal RNA is filed under the name uncultured bacterium. RNAcentral's name for it is "partial 16S ribosomal RNA". It matches the Rfam family "Bacterial small subunit ribosomal RNA", at positions 28 to 507 of the family's 1533-position model. The record is from RNAcentral.